ACACGUAGGGGCCUGACGUUGUUCGGAAUCAUUGGGCGUAAAGGGCGCGCAGGCGGCCGUCCAAGUCCGGUGUUAAAUGGUCGGGCUCAACCCGAUCAUGCGCUGGAAACUGGGCGGCUGGAGUCCCGGAGGGGAUGCCGGAAUUCCAGGUGUAGGGGUGAAAUCUGUAGAUAUCUGGAAGAACACCGAUGGCGAAGGCAGGCAUCUGGCCGGAGACUGACGCUGAGGCGCGAAGGCGCGGGGAGCGAACAGGUUUAGAUACCCUGGCAGUCCGCGCAGUAAACGAUGCGCACCAGGUGUCGGGCGGCAGCGCCCGGUACCGGAGCAAACGCGAUGAGUGCGCCGCCUGGGGAGUAUGCCCGCAGGGGUGAAACUCAAAGGAAUUGACGGGG
RNAcentral lists this ribosomal RNA (392 nucleotides) under uncultured bacterium. RNAcentral's name for it is "partial 16S ribosomal RNA". It matches the Rfam family "Bacterial small subunit ribosomal RNA", at positions 523 to 918 of the family's 1533-position model. The record is from RNAcentral.